Molecule: long non-coding RNA, 1980 nt
Organism: Oncorhynchus tshawytscha (Chinook salmon)
Lineage: Eukaryota; Metazoa; Chordata; Actinopteri; Salmoniformes; Salmonidae
Source: Ensembl
GGUCCAGCAUGGUGGUGGUGGUGUGAAGGUUUGGGGUCAGCAUGGUGGUGGUGGUAGUGCGAUGGUUUGGGGUCCAGCAUGGUGGGGGUAGUGUGAUGGUUUGGGGUCAGCAUGGUGGGGGUAGUGUGAUGGUUUGGGGUCAGCAUGGUGGUGGUGUGAUGGUUUGGGGUCAGCAUGGUGGUGGUAGUGUGAUGGUUUGGGGUCCAGCAUGGUGGUGGUAGUGUGAUGGUUUGGGGUCCAGCAUGGUGGUGGUAGUGUGAUGGUUUGGGGUCCAGCAUGGUGGUGGUGGUAGUGUGAUGGUUUGGGGUCAGCAUGGUGGUGGUAGUGUGAUGGUUAGGGGUCCAGCAUGGUAGUGGUAGGGUGAUGGUUUGGGGUCCAGCAUGGUGGUGGUAGUGUGAUGGUUUGGGGUCCAGCAUGGUGGUGGUAGUGUGAUGGUUUGGGGUCCAGCAUGGUGGUGGUAGUGUGAUGGUAGUGUGAUGGUUUGGGGUCAGUGGUGGUGGUAGUUUGGUUUGGGGUCCAGCAUGGUGGUGGUAGUGUGAUGGUUUGGGGUCAGCAUGGUGGUGGUAGUGUGAUGGUUUGGGGUCCAGCAUGGUGGUGGUAGUGUGAUGGUUUGGGGUCAGCAUGGUGGUGGUAGUGUGAUGGUUUGGGGUCAGCAUGGUGGUGGUAGUGUGAUGGUUUGGGGUCCAGCAUGGUGGUGGUAGUGUGAUGGUUUGGGGUCCAGCAUGGUGGUGGUAGUGUGAUGGUUGGGGUCAGCAUGGUGGUGGUGGUAGUGUGAUGGUUUGGGGUCCAGCAUGGUGGUGGUAGUGUGAUGGUUUGGGGUCAGCAUGGUGGUGGUAGUGUGAUGGUUUGGGGUCAGCAUGGUGGUGGUAGUGUGAUGGUUUGGGGUCAGCAUGGUGGUGGUAGUGUGAUGGUUUGGGGUCCAGCAUGGUGGUGGUAGUGUGAUGGUUUGGGGUCAGCAUGGUGGUGGUAGUGUGAUGGUUUGGGGUCAGCAUGGUGGUGGUAGUGUGAUGGUUUGGGGCAUGGUGGUGGUAGUGUGAUGGUUUGGGGUCCAGCAUGGUGGUGGUAGUGUGAUGGUUUGGGGUCAGCAUGGUGGUGGUAGUGUGAUGGUUUGGGGUCCAGCAUGGUGUGUAUGGUGUGAUGGUAGUGUGAUGGUUUGGGGUCAGCAUGGUGGUGGUAGUGUGAUGGUUUGGGGUCCAGCAUGGUGGUGGUAGUUGGAUGGUUUGGGGUCAGCAUGGUGGUGGUAGUGUGAUGGUUUGGGGUCCAGCAUGGUGGUGGUGAUGUGUGAUGGUUUGGGGUCAGCAUGGUGGUGGUAGUGUGAUGGUUUGGGGUCCAGCAUGGUGGUGGUAGUGUGAUGGUAGUGUGAUGGUUUGGGGCAUGGUGGUGGUAGUGUGAUGGUUUGGGGUCCAGCGUGGUGGUGGUCGUGUGAUGGUUUGGGGUCAGCAUGGUGGUGGUGGUAGUGUGAUGGUUUGGGGUCAAGCAUGGUGGUGGUAGUGUGAUGGUUUGGGGUCAGCAUGGUGGUGGUAGUGUGAUGGUUUGGGGUCAGCAUGGUGGUGGUAGUGUGAUGGUUUGGGGUCAGCAUGGUGGUGGUAGGGUGAUGGUAGUGUGAUGGUUUGGGGUCAAGCAUGGUGGUGGUAGUGUGAUGGUUUGGGGUCAAGCAUGGUGGUGGUAGUGUGAUGGUUUGGGGUCAGCAUGGUGGUGGUAGUGUGAUGGUUUGGGGUCAGCAUGGGUGGUGCUAGUGUGAUGGUAGUGUGAUGGUUUGGGGUCAAGCAUGGUGGUGGUAGUGUGAUGGUAUGGGGUCAGCAUGGUGGUGGUAGUGUGAUGGUAGUGUGAUGGUUUGGGGUCAGCAUGGUGGUGGUAGUGUGAUGUUUUGGGGUCAGCAUGGUAGUGGUAGUGUGAUGGUUUGGGGUCUAGCAUGGUGGUGGUGGUAGUGUAAUGGUUUGGGGUCUAGCAUGGUGGUGGUGGUAGUGUAAUGGUUUGGGG